Molecule: ribosomal RNA, 497 nt
Filed under: uncultured bacterium
Lineage: Bacteria
Description: partial 16S ribosomal RNA
Rfam family: Bacterial small subunit ribosomal RNA
Source: RNAcentral
GAUGAACGCUGGCGGCGUGCCUAAUACAUGCAAGUCGAGCGAUCAAGGUAGGAACUUGCUCCUAUUGCAUGAGCAGCGAACGGGUGAGUAACACGUGGGGAACCUGCCUUUGAGCCUGGGAUAACUUCUGGAAACGAAUGCUAAUACCGCAUAAAAUAUUUAAACACAUGGUUCAAGUUUGAAAGAUGCAUUUGCAUUACUCAAUGAUGAUCUCGCGUUGUAUUAGCCAGUUUGUGAGGUAAAGGCCCACCAAAGCGAAGAUACAGAAGCGACCCUGAGGGGGGGACGGCCACAAUGGGACUGAGACACGGCCCAAGCUCCUACGGGAGGCAGCAGUAGGGGAACUUCGGCAAUGGACGAAAGUCUGACCGAGCAACGCCGCGGGAGUGAAGAAGGUUUUCGGAUCGGAAAACUCUGUUGGUAGAGAAGAACGUUGUGUAUAGUGGAAAGCUCAUCAAGUGACGGUAACUACCCAGAAAGGGACGGCUAACUACGUG